UGUGGUGUGGUUCCAGUCUCGACGUGCAUUCACUUAGCUGUGAACAGAUGCACAAAAAGUGGCCAUCUAAAGCUUUCAAAAGCAAUGCAGAUGUUUGAAUUUUUUUGCUGUGUGCAGUAAUAAGAGCAGAAAUGUUUAAAAACUGAAUUAUGUAUGUUAUACUGCAUUUAUCAUAGUACAUCAUUUUUAAACGCCCACACAACCUAUUAGAGUUAUCGUAAAUAUGAAAUAAAAUGUACCCAAAACAGUUCUUAGCCUGUAAUAAAAUGUUUUCUGUACAGUACAAUUUGCAAAUUUGGUUUCAGUGUUUCCCAAUCCUGGUCUGACUGCACAUUUUCCAAGUGUUUCCCUUCCAAGGAUUGGGAAACACUAGAGUAUAUUGACAUCUAAAAUGUAAAAAAAAUUUUACAUCCUAGUUUUUCCAAGUACUUUUAAUGUCUAUUUUACGAUUUUGUUAUCUUUUUAAAUUUGUUAUUUUUUUUUAAAAAUCCUAAUUUUGUAAGUACUGGCCCCCCCGAACAACACUUAAAUUUAAUGUGAAAACAAUGUUAACUCUUAGCGGAAUUGCACCACAUGCAAUGCAUGCUGGGGCAACCCUGAAAGACUGUUGGUUCUAUCCCAGCUGCCAACAAGUCACAACCACUGGAACUCUUUUGUGAUAAGUGACAUUCUUGUUUUUCCAAUUUUUUUUUCUCUACAGCCAGAAUGUUUAACUUUAACCAUUGACCUGUACCAGUCUAUUCAACAUAAGCACGUGAAGUCCCUGAUCAGAGCGUUGCAUUGGAAGUUUUGUUCAGUGUAUGUACAGAAAGGGAGCAUACGCCAAAUAGUCUAAGCACAUUUUUUCAGAAUACAGU
Thalassophryne amazonica is the source of this 857-nucleotide long non-coding RNA. RefSeq lists it as uncharacterized. The transcript is spliced from 2 exons. NCBI's taxonomy places the organism in Eukaryota, Metazoa, Chordata, Actinopteri, Batrachoidiformes, Batrachoididae. The record is from RefSeq and is a predicted model, not a curated record.